GACGGGAGGGGCGAGCGCUACCCGGAGUCACUGGGCGUAAAGCGCGCGCAGGCGGCAACCUAAGUGUCGUGUGAAAGCCCCCGGCUCAACCGGGGGAGGCCAUGGCAAACUGGGUCGCUCGAGCUGCGGAGAGGCCCCUCGAAUUGCCGGUGUAGCGGUGAAAUGCGUAGAGAUCGGCAGGAAGACCAAGGGGGAAGCCAGGGGGCUGGCCGCAGGCUGACGCUGAGGCGCGACAGCGUGGGGAGCAAACCGG
This 253-nucleotide ribosomal RNA is filed under the name uncultured bacterium. RNAcentral describes it as "partial 16S ribosomal RNA". It matches the Rfam family "Bacterial small subunit ribosomal RNA", at positions 524 to 776 of the family's 1533-position model. The record is from RNAcentral.